RNAcentral lists this ribosomal RNA (611 nucleotides) under uncultured bacterium. RNAcentral describes it as "bacterial SSU rRNA". It matches the Rfam family "Bacterial small subunit ribosomal RNA", at positions 62 to 669 of the family's 1533-position model. The record is from RNAcentral.
UCGACGGCAGCACGGGAGCAAUCCUGGUGGCGAGUGGCGAACGGGUGAGUAAUGUAUCGGAACGUACCUUUCAGUGGGGGAUAACGUAGCGAAAGUUACGCUAAUACCGCAUAUUCUGUGAGCAGGAAAGCAGGGGAUCGCAAGACCUUGCGCUGAUUGAGCGGCCGAUAUCAGAUUAGCUAGUUGGUGAGGUAAAGGCUCACCAAGGCGACGAUCUGUAGCGGGUCUGAGAGGAUGAUCCGCCACACUGGAACUGAGACACGGUCCAGACUCCUACGGGAGGCAGCAGUGGGGAAUUUUGGACAAUGGGGGCAACCCUGAUCCAGCCAUGCCGCGUGAGUGAAGAAGGCCUUCGGGUUGUAAAGCUCUUUCAGCCGGGAAGAAAACGCAUGGGUUAAUACCCUGUGUGGAUGACGGUACCGGAAUAAGAAGCACCGGCUAACUACGUGCCAGCAGCCGCGGUAAUACGUAGGGUGCGAGCGUUAAUCGGAAUUACUGGGCGUAAAGCGUGCGCAGGCGGUUUGUUAAGAUAGGCGUGAAAUCCCCGGGCUCAACCUGGGAACUGCGUUUAUGACUGGCAGGCUAGAGUAUGGCAGAGGGGGGUGGAAUUC